This 256-nucleotide ribosomal RNA is filed under the name uncultured Gardnerella sp. RNAcentral describes it as "partial 16S ribosomal RNA". It matches the Rfam family "Bacterial small subunit ribosomal RNA", at positions 99 to 354 of the family's 1533-position model. The record is from RNAcentral. Lineage: Bacteria; Bacillati; Actinomycetota; Actinomycetes; Bifidobacteriales; Bifidobacteriaceae.
CGAACGGGUGAGUAAUGCGUGACCAACCUGCCCCAUGCUCCAGAAUAGCUCUUGGAAACGGGUGGUAAUGCUGGAUGCUCCAACUUGACGCAUGUCUUGUUGGGAAAGUGUUUAGUGGCAUGGGGUGGGGUCGCGUCCUAUCAGCUUGUAGGCGGGGUAAUGGCCCACCUAGGCUUCGACGGGUAGCCGGCCUGAGAGGGCGGACGGCCACAUUGGGACUGAGAUACGGCCCAGACUCCUACGGGAGGCAGCAGAG